UUAUGGAGAGUUUGAUCCUGGCUCAGAACGAACGCUGGCGGCGUGCUUAAUACAUGCAAGUCGUGCGAGAAAGUCAGCUUCGGCUGGCGAGUAAAGCGGCGAACGGGUGCGUAACACGUGGGCAACCUGCCUUUGGGUCUGGGAUAAGCCACCGAAAGGGGGUCUAAUACCGGAUAAUUUCUUCAUCUCGCAUGAGGAGAAGAUCAAAGAUCGCGAAAGCGACCGCCUGGAGAUGGGCCCGCGGCCUAUUAGCUUGUUGGCGAGAUAACAGCUCACCAAGGCCACGAUGGGUAGCCGUCCUGAGAGGGAUAACGGCCACACUGGGACUGAGAUACGGCCCAGACUCCUACGGGAGGCAGCAGUAGGGAAUAUUGGGCAAUGCCCGCAAGGGUGACCCAGCGACGCCGCGUGGGCGAUGAAGCUCCUUGGAGUGUAAAGCCCUGUCGGAAGGGAAGAAACGCAUUGUGGUGAACCACAGUGCCUGACGGUACCUUUAAAGGAAGCUCCGGCUAACUCCGUGCCAGCAGCCGCGGUAAUACGGAGGGAGCGAGCGUUGUUCGGAAUCACUGGGCGUAAAGGGCGCGCAGGCGGACUGAUAAGUCGGGUGUGAAAUCCCAAGGCUUAACCUUGGGUCUGCACUCGAAACUACCAGUCUUGAGUACGAGAGAGGGAAGCGGAAUCCCAGGUGUAGCGGUGAAAUGCGUAGAUAUCUGGGAGAACACCGGUGGCGAAGGCGGCUUCCUGGCUCGAUACUGACGCUCAGGCGCGAAGGCUAGGGGAGCAAACAGGAUUAGAUACCCUGGUAGUCCUAGCGGUAAACGAUGGGCACUAGGUGUUGGAGGACUUACCCCUUCAGUGCCGAAGCUAACGCAUUAAGUGCCCCGCCUGGGGAGUACGACCGCAAGGUUGAAACUCAAAGGAAUUGACGGGGGCCCGCACAAGCAGUGGAGUAUGUGGUUUAAUUCGAUGCAACGCGAAGAACCUUACCUGGGUUUGACAUCAACUGGAAAUCCAUAGAGAUAUGGCCCCCUCUUCGGAGGUCGGUUGACAGGUGCUGCAUGGCUGUCGUCAGCUCGUGCCGUGAGGUGUUGGGUUAAGUCCCGCAACGAGCGCAACCCCUGCCCAUAGUUACCAGCGGUUCGGCCGGGAACUCUAUGGGGACUGCCUCGGUUAACGAGGAGGAAGGUGGGGAUGACGUCAAGUCCUCAUGGUCCUUACGUCCAGGGCUACACACGUACUACAAUGGCCGGUACAGAGGGUCGCAAGACCGCGAGGUGGAGCCAAUCCCUAAAACCGGUCUCAGUUCGGAUUGGAGGCUGCAACUCGCCUCCAUGAAGUUGGAAUUGCUAGUAAUCGCGAAUCAGCACGUCGCGGUGAAUACGUUCCCGGGCCUUGUACACACCGCCCGUCAAGCCACGGAAGUUGGGAGUACCCAAAGGCGUGAACCCAACCGCAAGGAGGGUAGCGUCUAAGGUAAGACCGAUAACUGGGGCUAAGUCGUAACAAGGUAGCCGUAGCGGAAGCUGUGGCUGGAUCACCUCCUUUCUAAGGAGA
RNAcentral lists this ribosomal RNA (1554 nucleotides) under candidate division Zixibacteria bacterium CG_4_9_14_3_um_filter_46_8. Its description in RNAcentral is "bacterial SSU rRNA". It matches the Rfam family "Bacterial small subunit ribosomal RNA". The record is from RNAcentral. Lineage: Bacteria; Pseudomonadati; Candidatus Zixiibacteriota.